UACGUAGGUGGCAAGCGUUGUCCGGAAUUAUUGGGCGUAAAGCGCGCGCAGGCGGUCCUUUAAGUCUGUUGUGAAAGCUCACGGCUCAACCGUGGAGGGUCAUUGGAAACUGGGGGACGUGAGUACAGAAGAGAAGAGUGGAAUUCCACGUGUAGCGGUGAAAUGCGUAGAGAUGUGGAGGAACACCAGUGGCGAAGGCGACUCUUUGGUCUGUAACUGACGCUGAGGCGCGAAAGCGUGGGGAGCAAACAGG
Molecule: ribosomal RNA, 253 nt
Filed under: uncultured bacterium
Lineage: Bacteria
Description: partial 16S ribosomal RNA
Rfam family: Bacterial small subunit ribosomal RNA
Source: RNAcentral